Long non-coding RNA from Macrobrachium nipponense, 653 nucleotides. RefSeq lists it as uncharacterized. The record is from RefSeq and is a predicted model, not a curated record. The transcript has 5 exons. Lineage: Eukaryota; Metazoa; Arthropoda; Malacostraca; Decapoda; Palaemonidae.
AGGAUGAUAUACUGGAUCAUCAAUGCUGCUCAGAAGAAACAAACUGCUUGUCUAUGCAGUGCGGGUGUAUUACAAAUGUUUGCGAAAAAGUGGUGUCUGUAGAUAUUUAGGAAACUGUACUGGAUCAUCUGACUCGGAAAAAUUAAAUACAGGGUUGAAGUUCUCGUUGUAGAUUUUGAUAUGGAUUGGAGGAUGAUAUACUGGAUCAUCUCUGCUGCUCAGAAGAAACAAAUUGCUUGUCUAUGCAGUGCGGGUGCAUUACAAAUGUUUUUGCGAAAAAGUGGCGUCUGUAGAUAUUUAGGAAACUGUACUGGAUUAUCUUGACUCGGAAGACUUAAAUACAGGGUUGAAGUUCUCGUUGCAGAUUUUGACAUGGAUUGGAGGAUGAUGUACUGGAUCAUCAAUUCUGCUCAGAAGAAACAAACUGCUUGUCUAAGCAGUGCGGGUGUAUUACAAAUGUUUUGUAGAAAAGUGGUGUCUGUAGAUAUUUAGGUGAGCAUACCAUGAAAAGCCUUCCCAUUUCCCUUUAGUGUUUUUGUCUAUUUUUUACUAGGAUGCCUCUAAUGGGCAAGUAGACGUAAUCUUUGAGAAAUAAUUAUCUAUUUUAAGGGAACAGAUUCUAAGAUAUAACAUAUAAUGAACCUUAAGGGAAA